GACGAACGCUGGCGGCGUGCCUAAUACAUGCAAGUCGAACGCUUCUUUCCUCCCGAGUGCUUGCACUCAAUUGGAAAGAGGAGUGGCGGACGGGUGAGUAACACGUGGGUAACCUACCCAUCAGAGGGGGAUAACACUUGGAAACAGGUGCUAAUACCGCAUAACAGUUUAUGCCGCAUGGCAUAAGAGUGAAAGGCGCUUUCGGGUGUCGCUGAUGGAUGGACCCGCGGUGCAUUAGCUAGUUGGUGAGGUAACGGCUCACCAAGGCCACGAUGCAUAGCCCGCCUGAGAGGGGGAUCGGCCACCCGGGGGAGUAGACGCGCCCCAGACUCCUAGGGGAGGCAGCAGUAGGGAAUCUUCGGCAAGGGACGAAAGUCUGACCGAGCAACGCCGCGGGAGUGAAGAAGGUUUUCGGAUCGUAAAACUCUGUUUUUAGAGAAGAACAAGGACGUUAAUAACUGAACGUCCCCUGGCGGUAUCAAACCAAAAAGCCGCGGCAAACUACUU
RNAcentral lists this ribosomal RNA (507 nucleotides) under uncultured bacterium. RNAcentral describes it as "partial 16S ribosomal RNA". It matches the Rfam family "Bacterial small subunit ribosomal RNA", at positions 28 to 506 of the family's 1533-position model. The record is from RNAcentral.